GGCUGCGUAGCUCAGUUGGUUAGAGCACAGCAUUCAUAAUGCUGAAGUCGUUGGUUCGAGUCCAACCGCAGCUACCA
This 77-nucleotide transfer RNA is filed under the name Gammaproteobacteria bacterium. Its description in RNAcentral is "tRNA-Met". It matches the Rfam family "tRNA". Rfam says of the family: Transfer RNA (tRNA) molecules are approximately 80 nucleotides in length. Their secondary structure includes four short double-helical elements and three loops (D, anti-codon, and T loops). Further hydrogen bonds mediate the characteristic L-shaped molecular structure. tRNAs have two regions of fundamental functional importance: the anti-codon, which is responsible for specific mRNA codon recognition, and the 3' end, to which the tRNAs corresponding amino acid is attached (by aminoacyl-tRNA synthetases). tRNAs cope with the degeneracy of the genetic code in two manners: having more than one tRNA (with a specific anti-codon) for a particular amino acid; and 'wobble' base-pairing, i.e. permitting non-standard base-pairing at the 3rd anti-codon position. RNAcentral also lists the same sequence under 1 other name. Lineage: Bacteria; Pseudomonadati; Pseudomonadota; Gammaproteobacteria. The record is from RNAcentral.